GGGAAAGAAAGAAAUCAGAGGUGGAUGGCAAAGAGUGUAAUUUUACCUGCUGUCUGGAAGCCAUCUGUGAAAGGACUCACCUUUCUCUUCUGAACUUACUUCCAGGUGCAGCAGCAGGGGAUGAUACUGAAGAUGCCAGCACUGAAUUCACUGACAGUAUUGAGGAGGAGGCUGCACACAACAGCCACCAGCAACUUACCAAGGUGGCUUUGGAGAAAAGCUCGGCAACCAUGGAGACCCAGAGCACAUCUCUUUCCCCUCCAUCCCCAGUAGGAGGGGACAGUAACAGGUGUCUUCAGGAGGAAAUGCUCCACCUGAGGGCUGAGAUCCACCAGCACUUAGAGGAGAAGAGAAAAGCUGAAGGGGAACUUAAGGAGCUAAAGGCUCAAAUUGAGGAAGCAGGAUUCUCCUCUGUGUCCCACAUCAGGAAUACCAUGUUGAGCCUUUGCCUUGAGAAUGCAGAGCUGAAAGAGCAGAUGGGAGAAGCAAUGUCUGAUGGAUGGGAGAUGGAGGAAGACAAGGAGAAAGGCGAGGUGAUGGUGGAGACUGUGGUCGCCAAAGGGGAUCUGAAUGAGAGUACCCUUCAGGCUGAGUUCAGAAAGCUCCAGGGAAAACUGAAGAAUGCCCACAACAUCAUCAACCUCCUCAAAGAACACUUGGUACUAAGCAGCAAGGAAGGGAAUAAUAAACUUACUCCAGAGCUCCUUGCACACUUGACCAGGGAGAUUGACAGAAUGAACACAAACCUGGUUUGUUCUCCUGGGAAGAACCAAUGCCAAGAGGAGGAGUUGACCACAAGGCCUUGCCCCAGACCCCAGAGCCUUGAUCUUGGGGCCGCCUUGGCAGUGGAUACCCACCAAUUGGAUAACCAGUCUCAGGCCCAGGAUGCUAGGCCUCAAUCAGAAUUUAGCCUGCGUGGUUCUACCAAGCACCUGCGCUCUCAGCUGGCUCAGUGCAGACAAUGCUAUCAAGACCUUCAGGAGAAGCUACUGAUCUCAGAAGCAACUGUCUUUGCCCAGGCAAACCAGCUGGAGAAGUACAGAGCCAUAUUUAGUGAAUCCCUGGUGAAGCAGGACAGCAAGCAGGUCCAGGUGGAUCUCCAGGACCUGGGCUAUGAGACUUGUGGUCGAAGUGAAAAUGAGGCUGAACGUGAGGAGACCACCAGCCCUGAAUGUGAGGAGCACAACAGCCUGGUACUCAUGGAAGGGCUGUGCUCUGAGCAAGGGCGCCUGGGCCUAGCCCUCACACACCCUCCUGGGAAGAAGCCUUCAGAGAGCCGGCUAGGGAAGCAGGAAGAGUCCCAGGCAUAUGGAAAGUCAGAAAACAUCUCUGUUCUACGAAAGGACAUUAAAGAUCUGAAAGCCCAGCUGCAGAAUGCCAACAAGGUCAUUCAGAACCUCAAGAGCCGUGUCCGGUCUCUCUCGGUUACAAGUGAUUAUUCAUCUAGUCUGGAAAGACCCCGGAAGCUGAGGGCUGUUGGCACCCUUGAGGGGUCUUCACCCCAUAGUGUCACUGAUGAGGAUGAGGGGUGGCUGUCUGAUGGCACUGGGGCUUUCUACCCUCCAGGCCUUCAGGCCAAAAAGGAUCUGGAGAGUCUUGUCCAGAGAGUAUCCCAGCUGGAGGCUCAGCUCCCAAAAACCGGAAUAGAAGGGAAGCUGGCCGAGGAGCUGAGAUCAGCCUCGUGGCCUGGGUAAGAAGUGCACUAUUUGAUUGAUGAUGUCUAAGUUUGUGCUUGGAAUUGAGUGACCUAGGUAGUUUGAAUGAAGACCAUAUCAACAUAGUAAGAAGGCACUUAUUUAAGUGGUGGUAAGUCUGAGAAGAUACUUAUUAUCAGCUAUCAUUAGUACAUUGU
This is a long non-coding RNA of Ictidomys tridecemlineatus (thirteen-lined ground squirrel), 1852 nucleotides long. The record is from Ensembl. NCBI's taxonomy places the organism in Eukaryota, Metazoa, Chordata, Mammalia, Rodentia, Sciuridae.